CCAUUCCAUACCUCUUCUCACUUUGAUUAAAGUUCAGUUCUUCUGUGUGGAACAUGAAUGAGUUCUCUGAAGCUGCAGCUGCUACUCCACUCAUGAAAGGUAACCAUUGUGAUACCAAAGAAGGGUCAUCGACAUCAGUGACAUUUGUGAAAGCAUUUGUUAUUCCAUGCAUGUCUCCAAAGAAAUUCUCGUCCGAAUAGCGUAGGAAACACCAACUAAACCAAACUGUAACAUCCCUAUUCUUAGGACAAUCAUUUGACGCUACUCUUGUAGAGUUAAGGACACAGAUAGAACAAUUGUUAGCAGAUAUGUCUCCUCUACAUAAUAUUGAACCAUAAACCCUGCUGGAGUUUUCUCCUACAGUGGUUUGGUAAAAUCCUUGGUGAUCAACCACAUUUGAAGCAAGAGAAUCCAAUAAGGUAUGGAAUAUGUCUUCAUUGACCGUAUUAUCAGCUUUAUUGCAUAUCGGACCUAUUUCUCUAUUGGUGUCAUCAGCAAGGCCAAAAAAGCCAUUUGGAAAGACCAGAACAAAGAAGCUGAUAACACAUAGCAUAACAAAAUAAAAUGAUUUCAUAGUCUCUUUGGUAUAGCAGAAUAGCAGAAGAGAAGAGGAAGAUCAAAAGCAAUGAGUGUGUCACCCUACGUUACAAAUUUUGAACUUAAAUCAAUUGGUCAAACAGUGACAUUUCUUUUUUAAUUAACACUAUUAUUUUUUAUGUGCAAAGUCAACUCUUGGGUACAAUAUGACUAUGUCUCAGAUUGUUUAGUACAAGUAAGAGAAAUUUUCCAAUCUGUCGUGUUAAAUAAAUUUGGAUCUCACUCCAAAAAGUUAGUUCAGAUGAUAAGGAUCUUCAAGGCCAUUUCACAUUGCUGGCGUUUAGAGAAUGUGCAAUAUAUAUAUAUAUAUAUAUAUAUAUAUAUAUAUAUAUAUAUAUAUGUGUGUGUGUGUGUGUGUGUGUGUGUGUGCGCGCGCGCGCUUGUAAAAUGGACAUCCUCAUCCUUAGAGUUAACUUUAAAAGGUGAGAUUAAACUUCUAAGCCUAUUUAACAUUUUGUUUAAUGUUGAGUUUACUUCUAACUUCUAGGACUUGAUUAUUAAGUAUAACUAAACUUAGGGAAGGCUCAUAUGACCAAAGUUCUGGCUUACUUCUUGAACAAUCUAUGUAAAAUUAUGUGGAGUGGAUAACUUCUUAAACUUGGCAUUAAUAAAGCACCAAAUGAUCGAUGAAGAAAUCAAUAGUCAAAACAACUGAAAAAUAACAAUGCUAUUAUCUGCAGAUAAAAUAUAUAAAUCAAAUCAAAUCAUUUUUUUAUUUGAAAUAAAAUGUUUUGCAUACAUGAUAUAUUUUCCUGUGGGAAAAUAAGCAAGUCAUUCAACUUAAGAAAAGCAGAAAUAUUUGACCAAAAAAGAAAUGUAAGAAAUAUUAUAAAAACAAACAAAAAUUGACUUGGAAUUUUAACAAACGUAACCAUUAAGAUGUGGCAAAAGGAGUUGUCCGGAGGUAUUGUCCGCUAUGGGUUUGUGUGUAAACCCUCUCAUUUUAGUCAUUUAUUAAAAGACGUCUCGUUGAAUUUGAAGAGUAUAUAGUUGUUGUUUAUAAUCUGUCAUUGACCUUAUAUCUCAAACUAUACUGAACCUUUUGGUUUACAGACACAUUUUUAUUUUUAACCCAAUUAGGUCGCAAUGAGAUGUCUUACCAUAAUUCUUUAUUUUGUUAAAUUUAUGGAAAUAACUUAAGAAAAGUUACCGCUCAUGUAAAGUUGACAAUCACCAACUGUGAUAGCUAAUUCGAUUUAGAUAAACUUGUUUAUCGUAGGGUUAAUAAUGAUUAUCUUAAUGGUUACAUUGUAAUUCAUACAUUAUUAGGGGAGAUGAGGCCAUGGAAACUGGAGUUUAGGGUUUUCAAUUUAGGUGAAAAAUUAGUGAUUCAAAGAGAAAGACAAUGUUAUACACGCUGGUAGGGCAAAAACGCUGAGUUUUGGGUCUAUUUAGCAAGUUAAUGGUCGCAUCAUCGUGCUUUAAUUAGAGACUGGCAGAAAGGAUAAUGUUGCAACAUUUCAGAAACUAAUUGAAACUUGCCAAACUUUUUAGCUUGGGAAAACUUAAAACUUAAAACCUUUGGAUGUAUUUGGCCUUUAAAAUAUUUUCAGAAACAUUGUGUUUCCAGCCUCUAACACGUAUAAACAUGAACCAAUGGCCUUCACAUCAGUAAAAAAAUUAACAAACAUCUAAACAAAAGAAUCUUGCUUUUUUUUCAAUUAUCUCAAAAAAUAUUAUGUAAUGCAUUUCCAUAUUUUUACUCUUUCUUCAGUCAUGUGUAAAAUAGCCAACUUCUAUAUAUUUAUGAUAAUUUAAAAACAGCUGCAAAUUAAUUACAAAGAUACAUGUAACAUUCCCAUAUAAUUACAAAGCCACCAAAUCAAGAAAUUAUAAAGUAAUAAAUUAUAAAAUAGACCAUGACAUUUUGCAAUCUCCAUUCCUAAAACCAAAUCCCAUUGACAAAGUAAAAAUAAAUAAAAAAUUGAAACUAGAAUUAGAAAACUAUCAACAAGGCUGCUGAGACCGCAAUCGCUGCUAAGCUUCUGCAAGAAGAAGGCCUCCAUGCAGCUGUACCACAGAGAAAACUUAUAUUAGCUUGGCUUCCUUAUUAGACAUCACAAGGAAAGUAAGUGUAGCCAUAUAAAAAUAUCUUAGAGCUGCUUUUCAACAAGCAUCUACAGUUAGAAAAAAAGUUAAAAUGAUCUUCCAGUAAUUUCAAGUCUUUUAAUAAUAGCUUCUCAUGUAAGUUAACAUCUUAACUUGUAAACCUCCGCGUUUAACUCCUAUAUAAAUACAGAUUUUCCUGUAAAGACAUUCUUAUAAGUUAAAGACACACUCCUCUCUACUUAAAUAAAAGCAAAACGUACAAGUAUCUUGUUCCCCAAGUAAUUAACUUGUCGAAAUGUGAUCCAGAUACAUGUAUUUUUUGCUAAUAUUUAAGUCGAGAGGAGUGCAUAUUUCAGUUGAGGAUAGACAACAUGUGUCCUUGUGAAUCUUAAAUUGAUAGGAUAGACAAUUAUAAUUGAGAAAUAUGUUAUAUUUAAAAAGAACUAACCAAAAGUCAAAGGACUCACCACUUGGAAGAAAGGAUACACUAGCAUAAAACUGAUAGUCAUCAUACCACAUGAAACAAUUGGAUCCAUAAAUUUCCCAUCUUGUAUUAUUUCUAAUUGUUCUGAUGUUAAUCAGCUGAGAAUCCAGACACCUUUUGCAGUCCUUUCUACUAAUAUCUCUUGUGCACUGAGCCAUUCCAUACCUCUUCUCACUUUGAUUGAAGUUCAGUACUUCUGUGUGGAACAUUAAUGAUUUCUCUGAAGCUGUAGCUGCUACUCCACUCAUGAAAGGUAACCCUUGUGAAACCACAGAAGGAUCAUCAAUAUCAUCAAAGUCAUAUGUAAAUGUCAAUUCCUGCAUGUCUCCAAAGAAGCUCUCGUUUGAAUAGCG
RNAcentral lists this long non-coding RNA (3483 nucleotides) under Medicago truncatula (barrel medic). Its description in RNAcentral is "long non-coding RNA (MTRU_LNC007990)". The record is from RNAcentral. Lineage: Eukaryota; Viridiplantae; Streptophyta; Magnoliopsida; Fabales; Fabaceae.